UGUUACCAGAACUGGACCCUAACCGCUGUCGAAAUGAAAGUGGUUGCUUGGGAUACAUUAACAUUGUGAUAUUAUUGAACCUUGCUGUCAUAAAUCACAUAAAUAUAACACUGUUGCUCUUUCUCUCAGGUUUUUCUGAAUUUACAUUUAUGUUCCAGGUAGAACUUGCACAGGUAGUUUUUCGUUGCAUUUAACUGAAUUGUUUGUAGAAGACAAAAAGGGCUUUUGUGUUUAGACUGUGCAUUGAAAUGUCUUUCCAUGUAAGUUCCAAAUAAGCUCAGAUGAGGCAUAAAAUAUAAUAAUAAAUUGCAAAAACUAGGACUUGGACUAGAUGAUCUCCAGAGGUACCUUCCAAGCCCAACCGUUCUGUGAUUCCGUGAUGCAUGGGACGUACUGCCCUGGAGGUCCAAGUGAACCAAGGAGGUUGGGGCUCAAAGGCUCCCCUUGAGUGUUGUUGGGACUCGCUCACUGUCAGCAGUCCUCUGUCCAUCACAGUUUCCUAUUUGUCUGUGCCUGAACUCAGUCCUUAUAGUCAUAUGUCUCGUUUGAAGCUUUUAGGUAGCCCUGCUUGAAUUCCAAAGAUGCUCAAGUGCCUUCUUGAUUCAGAGGUUUAGCAAGUUCACAUCAGAAAGCCACUAGCAACAGGAGGGGAAACUGCUUCUAACGGUGCCAUUCAGUGGAGCUGGAGGUUCAAAUGCUUGAGGACUGUCAUCUUUGGUACAACCAAUCCCUGCUACACUCAGUGUCUCACCGUGUGACACCAAGAUGUUCUGCUCGUGUUUCUGUGUCAUUAGGAGCAUAUCACGACAAACCCAUGUGGCUGCAGGACUACAGGACAGACAGACAGUCACCCUUCUGUGCCUCUUCCCUGAGAGAGCCAGGACAUGAGCACCAGAUGUGUCAGACACCACGGGACAAGGGAACAUCUGGAGCAGCCAUACACGUGCG
Columba livia (rock pigeon) is the source of this 948-nucleotide long non-coding RNA. RefSeq lists it as uncharacterized. NCBI's taxonomy places the organism in Eukaryota, Metazoa, Chordata, Aves, Columbiformes, Columbidae. The transcript is spliced from 3 exons. The record is from RefSeq and is a predicted model, not a curated record.